Molecule: long non-coding RNA, 527 nt
Organism: Mastomys coucha (southern multimammate mouse)
Lineage: Eukaryota; Metazoa; Chordata; Mammalia; Rodentia; Muridae
Exons: 3
Source: RefSeq, a predicted model, not a curated record
ACCAUGUGGUUGCUGGGAUUUGAACUCACGACCUUUGGAAGAGCAGCCAAUGCUCUUGCCUGCUGAGCCAUCUCACCAGCCCGGGUUACCUGAUCUUACAGUUCUUCAAACUGAACCGAACCUGGCCCCUCGUAACGGCCCUGCAUCUCUUUGCAAGAAACAUCACCAACCAUGUGCUGCUGACGAAGGACGGCAUCACCCUGAGCAGCUCCUCCUUGUCUUCCUCCCGGACCACAGGAAUCGUCUCUAGGAUGAGCUGCAUCUGCUCCAGCUCGUGAGCCCCUGGGGAGGCAAAUGGCACGUGGAAUAAGAACACAUGUACAUUCCUGGGUAGGUAUACAUCUGCACAAAUGCGAGCCAGCAUCCUGAAGAGCCCCGGGGAUCAUCACAUCUAUCGUUGCACUACACACAGGAGCCAAGAUGCCAGCCUAGAGGGAAGCAGUCUAGAUGCCCAUCAACAGCCAGACUAAUAAAGAAAAUGUGAUAUUCUCAGCUGUAAAGGAGAAUAAAUUAGGGCUGGAAUGGAG